RNAcentral lists this ribosomal RNA (563 nucleotides) under uncultured bacterium. Its description in RNAcentral is "partial 16S ribosomal RNA". It matches the Rfam family "Bacterial small subunit ribosomal RNA", at positions 355 to 911 of the family's 1533-position model. The record is from RNAcentral.
UGGGGAAUUUUGGACAAUGGGGGAAACCCUGAUCCAGCCAUCCCGCGUGUGCGAUGAAGGCCUUCGGGUUGUAAAGCACUUUUGGCAGGAAAGAAACGUCGCGGGUUAAUACCCCGCGAAACUGACGGUACCUGCAGAAUAAGCACCGGCUAACUACGUGCCAGCAGCCGCGGUAAUACGUAGGGUGCAAGCGUUAAUCGGAAUUACUGGGCGUAAAGCGUGCGCAGGCGGUUCGGAAAGAAAGAUGUGAAAUCCCAGAGCUUAACUUUGGAACUGCAUUUUUAACUACCGGGCUAGAGUGUGUCAGAGGGAGGUGGAAUUCCGCGUGUAGCAGUGAAAUGCGCAGAUAUGCGGAGGAACACCGAUGGCGAAGGCAGCCUCCUGGGAUAACACUGACGCUCAUGCACGAAAGCGUGGGGAGCAAACAGGAUUAGAUACCCUGGUAGUCCACGCCCUAAACGAUGUCAACUAGCUGUUGGGGCCUUCGGGCCUUGGUAGCGCAGCUAACGCGUGAAGUUGACCGCCUGGGGAGUACGGUCGCAAGAUUAAAACUUAAAGGAAUU